RNA transcript from Cataglyphis hispanica, 3587 nucleotides. It is a transcript of the gene named probable ATP-dependent RNA helicase DDX28, with no coding region annotated. The record is from RefSeq and is a predicted model, not a curated record. NCBI's taxonomy places the organism in Eukaryota, Metazoa, Arthropoda, Insecta, Hymenoptera, Formicidae. The transcript has 9 exons.
GCUUGGUAACAUCAUAUGUUUUCUACAUGCUUGUGCGGCUUUAUUUACAAUUAUUUAUAGUUAAUAAUUAUGACAAUGUUCUCUCGAUUUUGUAACUUGUGUCACAAAACCGCGAACGUUCAGUUUAUGCAAUUUCAAAGAUGUUAUAAAAGAGGUAUCAAAAGGAAGGGUAAUGCUAGUCGCAUUGAGAGACCAAAUGACACAGAAGGAAAAACACCAAUAAUUGUUUGCAAACGGAAGGAGUUUAAUUUUUACGAAGGACAAACAUAUUCUAAAUUUGAACCUAUACCACUUGCUAGUAAAGGAUGGCAGCAUUAUAAAUCUAAAGGGGAUUUUUUCUUCGUAUAUCCUCUUACAAAUGUGGAAGAAGAGGCAUUUGAUAAUGAAUCACACAACGAAGAAAACAUAUGCGAUACCUUUGCACAGUUUGGCUUAAAUCCACAAAUAAUAAAUAUCUUAGAAAAAUACAAUAUAACAAAACCUUUGAAGAUACAAACAAUUGGAAUACCUCAGAUAUUGAAUGGUGCUAAUACUAUUAUAGCAGCUGAAACUGGUUGUGGAAAGACCUUAACUUAUCUUCUACCCAUGAUAGAUAAAGUUUUAAGAUGGAAACAAUUAGCAGAGAACCAUUACAAUUCUCCAAUGGGAUUGAUUAUUACACCUACUCGAGAAUUGGCAUUUCAAAUUGGACUAGAAGCAAAGAAAAUAUGUCAACAUCUUGGUAUUUAUGUACAAACUAUUACUGGUGGAAAAACAGGCAAGAUGUUGUUAGAUCCACCCGUAGAGAAAGUUGACAUUAUUGUAGCUAGUUUUGGAGUCAUCAGUAAAUUAACCACACAUAAGGUUUAUAAAUUGAACAUGGUCAGAUCUAUUGUAUUAGAUGAAGCAGAUGCCUUAUUUCAUGAAACAUUUGAAGAAAAGUUACAAGUAUUCCUGAAAAGAGUACCGCUCGGCUUUGUUCAAAAUGUAGACGAAGGUAGCUCCAAACUACCGAUAGGUGCCCAAUUCGCAGUAGUAUCUGCAACAAUGCCUUCAAGAAUGUCAAAAGUUCUAAAGAAUAUUAUAGAUGUUGAAUCAUUGGUAAAUAUAAUUUCGGAUAAACUACAUCACAUUCUCGUACCACAAAAAUUUAUGAGAGUAGGACCAGAUGACAAACCGAUGGAACUUUUAAAAUAUAUCAAACCGAAAAUAGCCAAUAGAGAGCAAGUAAUCAUAUUUAAUAACACUAAUAGCACUUGCAACUGGGUCAGUAUGUUUCUGAAUAAAAGCAAAAUAGAAACGGUUUGCUUGAACGGCGACAUGCCAAUGUAUGAAAGGCAAAACAAAUACGCCAGCUUCAAGGGUGGUAGAUGCUGCGUGUUGUGCACUACAAACGCGGGAUCCAGGGGAAUGGAUACAGUAGCGAUACGCCAUGUGUUGAAUUACGAUUUUCCAAACGCAACUGCUGAUUACAUUCACAGAUGUGGUAGAACCGGAAGAUUCGGCGGCGUUAAGGAUUGUAGAGUAACGAAUUUUGUAAGCACUCCGUCAGAAAUUAGUAUGGUACAAAAGAUAGAGAGAGCGGUUCGAAAGAUGAAACCGAUACCAAUAUUCGAUAUUCAUGAAGAAAAGGAAGAUGGCAUUUUGGAUUUACUUGAGUCCAAGAAUAUUGAAGAAAAUCAGCAACAAGAAUUUAGCAUGCCGUAUUGAUGCAACAUCAUUUCUAGGGAGAGGAAACCGCGACCCACACACACGUGCGUGACAUGCCUCGUUCGACCGAUGUCUCCCGUCAUGUCCGGCGGCACUCCCACAUGGUGAACGCCCACACGCGCGGCAAAUAGUAAUACUUCCCCCUCCCCUCCAGAUGAUGGUGGUAGACCUUGUGUCUAGACCGUUGCUGUCAGUUUAUUAUUCGCGCGCCGGGUUUUAGCGAAAUUAAAUGCAACCGGCACGCGCUGACGGUCACGUGCUGGGUGCGCCGAAUCACGUGUGUCAUUGCGACACAGGAGGACCCCCUGCGUCCCGUGAGACAAGGGGGAACAACACCUCGGAGCAACGAAUUAUAUCACGCCGAACGUCAUGCGUGAAUGAUAAAGCAGUACUCAUUCACCUACUAUAAAAUUUUUCUCAGUGUGGCUUUGUCUUUUCAUCGUAUAUAUUCUUUAUUUUUGACUGGCAAAGCUGUUGUAUCAGUCGAGACGGCGCUCCCGGAUAUGCUUCUGUUAUGCAUUCACGAUUUAAUACACGUCGUUAACGCGCUCCUGAAAGAGUAUACACUAAAGCCGGUCACACCUUUAGUAUUCACUGUCAUUAAAGUAGAUAUAGCGAACGGCGCGUAAGCCGUCUUUGUCAUCGCCGAGAAACGGUAGUGCCGGGGUAGUGCCGAUAGUGACGACUGCGAUGAUAAUGGAUUAAUUAACGUGGGUAGCCACAUGACAUGUAGGACAGGAGCGGUAUGGGGGUCAGGCGAUAUAACGUCCUCCAUGCGGGAGAUCUCGUCUCUGAUCUUAACCAGACGUGGUUCGCGCCACACGCGCGGCUUUUGACAGGCGUCGUACAGAGUACAUGUACUUUGAUCCCCGAUGUUCCACGCGCGUUUCGUUUUUUAUUCUAAUCUAUUUUUUUAAACUACAUCUUCAGAGAGUUAUAUCAGAUUACGAAUCUUUUUUAAAAAUAUUAGGUAUCAAUCUAAACCAUGCUAUCAAUCAAUAGAUCGCAUUUUUUUUUUACUUUAAUUAUGAUUGAUUGUAUCACUUGUGAAUGUAGAUGUAAUUAGUACGGAUUAUGUAUGUCGAUUAUUUUGCUACAUUUAUGCUUGUGAGAGGGAGAGAGCACACUUUUAUUUAAUCUCAAGAUGCUUAAUAUAUCUAAAAUAUUAUCUUUGAAUAACAAAAUAUUAUUGCGAACAUUUUCGUAAAGAAUAUAAACGAUGAAAAUAUUAAAAAACGCAGUUUUUUAAAUAUAUUUUUAAUAAAAAAAAGUAUUAUAACCGCGAUUAUUAUUUUUUAGAAUUAAAAUCGAUUCGAUUGUAAAUUCUCUUCAUAUUCUGUCAAAAGAAUGUUUUGAUUCAUUAUCAAAUAUUAUCAUAAGAACAAGAAAAUAAUUAUAUAUAUAUGACGCUUAAUUGUCUUGAUGAAAGCCCGAAGCGCGCGCUGUUCGCAUAGAGAUAAAAGAGGUAGUUUAUACCAAGUUUCUGCGUUGACGUGGGCUGUUAUUGUUUACGCGGAGAUGCCCAACACUGAUUUUCGAGAAGAAUAGCGCGCACCCGCAUCCAGGAGUGACCGAAAAAAAAGAUGCGACUCCUUGUGAAAACACGUGGCAGCGACAACGACCUACGAGAAAAGAAAAAAUAGGCCAGUCGUUACGCACAUAUGUGUAUGCACAGUAUACACAAAGCACAUAGUUUAUAAGAAUUUAUUUGCGAAUUUAUUUAUUUAUGAUAUUUUUAUAUUUGAUAUAUGAUAAAAGCGCAUUUAUAUAAUUGAAAAUCGUAAUCAAACACAUUCAAAAACGGAGUCAUUUGUAUCUGAUAUAAUGGAGUUGAAAUUCUCUCCGUUUCUCUCUCUCAGAUAAAAUGAAAAAUGGCAACAAAUUGUCGAUAAAAAUGA